Molecule: non-coding RNA, 72 nt
Organism: Podarcis lilfordi (Lilford's wall lizard)
Lineage: Eukaryota; Metazoa; Chordata; Lepidosauria; Squamata; Lacertidae
Source: the annotation of a GenBank genome assembly
GGGGCUGUGGCUCAAUAGUAGUGCAACUGUUUGUCAUGCAGAAGGUCUCAGGUUCAAUUCCUGACAUCUCCA